UACGGGGGGAGCAAGCGUUGUUCGGAUUUACUGGGCGUAAAGGGCGCGUAGGCGGCCAGCACAAGUCAGUUGUGAAAUCCCCGGGCUUAACUCGGGGCCUGCAGGCGAAACUGUGGUGCUGGAGUAUGGGAGAGGUGCGUGGAAUUCCCGGUGUAGCGGUGAAAUGCGUAGAUAUCUGCAGGAACACCCGUGGCGAAAGCGGCGCGCUGGACCACUACUGACGCUGAGGAACGAAAGCUAGGGGAGCAAACAGG
RNAcentral lists this ribosomal RNA (254 nucleotides) under uncultured prokaryote. RNAcentral's name for it is "partial 16S ribosomal RNA". It matches the Rfam family "Bacterial small subunit ribosomal RNA", at positions 524 to 776 of the family's 1533-position model. The record is from RNAcentral.